GCUAGCAGCCAUAUCACCCUGCAGCUCUCAACUGGCUACCCACUGAAACUAAGCAGGUUUGAACCUGGUCAGUGCCUAAAUGGGAGCCCUCCUGGGAAACUAUGGUUGCUGCUGGAA
Molecule: ribosomal RNA, 117 nt
Filed under: Lepisosteus oculatus (spotted gar)
Lineage: Eukaryota; Metazoa; Chordata; Actinopteri; Semionotiformes; Lepisosteidae
Source: RNAcentral